Molecule: ribosomal RNA, 492 nt
Filed under: uncultured bacterium
Lineage: Bacteria
Description: partial 16S ribosomal RNA
Rfam family: Bacterial small subunit ribosomal RNA
Source: RNAcentral
AUUGAACGCUGGCGGCAUGCUUUACACAUGCAAGUCGAACGGUAACAGGCCUUCGGGUGCUGACGAGUGGCGAACGGGUGAGUAAUGCAUCGGAACGUACCCAGAGGUGGGGGAUAACGCAGCGAAAGCUGUGCUAAUACCGCAUGUGAUCUGAGGAUGAAAGCGGGGGACCGAGCAGCAAUGUUUGGCCUCGCGCCUUUGGAGCGGCCGAUGUCGGAUUAGCUAGUUGGUGGGGUAAAGGCCUACCAAGGCGACGAUCCGUAGCUGGUCUGAGAGGACGACCAGCCACACUGGGACUGAGACACGGCCCAGACUCCUACGGGAGGCAGCAGUGGGGAAUUUUGGACAAUGGGCGCAGGCCUGAUCCAGCAAUGCCGCGUGCGGGAAGAAGGCCUUCGGGUUGUAAACCGCUUUUGGCAGGAACGAAACGGUGUCCGCUAAUACCGGGCGCUAAUGACGGUACCUGCAGAUUAAGCACCGGCUAACUACGUG